UGGGGAAUAUUGGACAAUGGGCGAAAGCCUGAUCCAGCAAUGCCGCGUGUGUGAAGAAGGCCUGCGGGUUGUAAAGCACUUUUAUCAGGAAAGAAACAGCCUGGGGAUAAUACCUCCAGGCCUUGACGGUACCUGAGGAAUAAGCACCGGCUAACUUCGUGCCAGCAGCCGCGGUAAUACGAAGGGUGCAAGCGUUACUCGGAAUUACUGGGCGUAAAGCGUGCGUAGGCGGUUUGUUAAGUCCGUUGUGAAAGCCCUGGGCUCAACCUGGGAACUGCAGUGGAUACUGGCAAGCUAGAGUGCGGUAGAGGAGGGUGGAAUUCCCGGUGUAGCGGUGAAAUGCGUAGAGAUCGGGAGGAACAUCGAUGGCGAAGGCAGCCCUCUGGACCAGCACUGACGCUGAGGCACGAAAGCGUGGGGAGCAA
Molecule: ribosomal RNA, 425 nt
Filed under: uncultured bacterium
Lineage: Bacteria
Description: bacterial SSU rRNA
Rfam family: Bacterial small subunit ribosomal RNA
Source: RNAcentral